AGAGUUUGAUCAUGGCUCAGAGUGAACGCUGGCGGCGUGCUUAACACAUGCAAGUCGAACGAGAACGGGCCUAGCUUGCUAGGCUGUCAGCUAAGUGGCGGACGGGUGAGUAAUGUAUAGUUAAUUUGCCCCUUAGAGAGGGAUAACAGUUAGAAAUGACUGCUAAUACCUCAUACUCCUUCUACCUUAAUGGUAGUUGGGAAAUGUUUUUUCGCUAAGGGAUGAGACUAUAUGGUAUCAGGUAGUUGGUGGGGUAAGAGCCUACCAAGCCUAUGACGCCUAGCUGGUCUGAGAGGAUGAUCAGCCACACUGGAACUGAGACACGGUCCAGACUCCUACGGGAGGCAGCAGUGGGGAAUAUUGCACAAUGGAGGAAACCCUGAUGCAGCAACGCCGCGUGGAGGAUGACGCAUUUCGGUGUGUAAACUCCUUUUAUAUGGGAAGAUAAUGACGGUACCAUAUGAAUAAGCACCGGCUAACUCCGU
Molecule: ribosomal RNA, 485 nt
Filed under: uncultured bacterium
Lineage: Bacteria
Description: bacterial SSU rRNA
Rfam family: Bacterial small subunit ribosomal RNA
Source: RNAcentral